GUUAAUCUAAAGUUUUUUUAUAUCGCAAAUUUAUUUUUGAUAUAAAAAAACUUCAGAUUAACUUUAUGUGUAACAUGAAUAAAAAAACAAUAUGUGAACAUGAAUUUAAUCUGUUUUUCAUGGUGUAUCAAUCAAAGUUUGGUGUAUUGGCCAAAUCACUUGCAAGCAUCUUGCCUUUAAACUGCCAUACGUAAAGUCAUGCUUUUAAAAGUAACUGAAAGCAGCUGAAAAUAAGAAUUUUUUGUUAUGAGACUGCUUUAGAACGAAAUUAUCUGUGCCUCCAGCUUAAAAGGAUGCAGGUUACAAAAAAAGUGACACUGAUAUGAUUGUCUCUCAGUUUCUCAAAGAUUGAAGAAAUCUUUAGUGUUUUAGGGUUAAGUGAUUCCAUCAGAGCUUUGCUUGACUAUUUCUUUCGAUUUAUUGAAUUUAUUUGCCGGUUAUAGAUGAAAAAAGAUCUUCUAAACCUAGAAGAAAAAUUAUGGAACAAAGACACCUUAUGAAUCAAUAGUAUAUAUCAGUGAAUUGAUAUUAGUUAAUAGUUUUUGGAAACAGUACCAUGUACUAUUAAAGUUUCUAAUUUUUAAAAUAUAUAAUACAUUUAUAUGAAACAUACAAACAAAUGAUACAAUAUGGUACGUGAUUGACUAUAAUUAUGUUGUAUAUCAGAAUGUUUUAUAUAAAUGCUUAUUACAUUUUAUUGUGAUUUUUAUCUUUUAUGCCCAGUUAGCAAUGUAUUUUGUGUAGCAAUGACUACUAAUCUCAGAUAUCUAUGACAUCUGUAGGUUGUAUUCACCUCUACAGAUGUCAUAAUCUAUUUAUAACCAAUUGCUUUUACUCUUCCAUAAUGUCAUAUUUUAAUAAGAAUCAUAUUAUGGAAAACCGUAUAAUACAUACACAUGAGGAACCAUUAUACUUUUAGUACAACCAAUUAUAUUACAUUUGUUUUCUUAUUUUAGAUGAACUUUCUUACUUCGGUUGGAGGAGAUUAGAAACAACUUACAGCGGUAAUCUUAAUACAGCUAAUGGCCAAAGAAGUAUGUUUUUCAUAUUCAGUAUAUGAAAGAAAACAAAAACGACCUGCAAGGUCGUUAUAGAGUUGCGUUUAGUCGUUUAUCGUUGUAUUCGUUCAUUUCGAAAUCGCUACUGACAAAAGUAUUAAAGAAAAUAUUGGCAGCUUUCUGGCGACGGCCAUUAACAGAGAUUACGGAAGAAAAAUAGAACCGUAACUGAGCAACGCCUAAUGCAAUGCAACAGCAAUGACAUCUGUAGGGUAAAUAAGUAUCGCCAAUAUAAUGAAAGUCAAUGCCCACUAUCUCAUAGUGAGAGUAUAAUACA
Molecule: non-coding RNA, 1335 nt
Organism: Hydra vulgaris (swiftwater hydra)
Lineage: Eukaryota; Metazoa; Cnidaria; Hydrozoa; Anthoathecata; Hydridae
Source: RefSeq, a predicted model, not a curated record